RNAcentral lists this long non-coding RNA (1331 nucleotides) under Fukomys damarensis (Damara mole-rat). RNAcentral's name for it is "lncRNA (ENSFDAG00000032851.1)". Lineage: Eukaryota; Metazoa; Chordata; Mammalia; Rodentia; Bathyergidae. The record is from RNAcentral.
AUGUGCCUUUAUUGCUGGUGUUCACUUGUGUCGUAUCUUCUGGAGCUGAGUAAUAUGGCCUUUAUGACCACCUGUGUGACUGCAGUGUGGAUCUAUGUACCGGCACAGCCAGGAGGCCCGGAGAGUGGGGAUGAUGCAGAGGAGCCCGUGCAGUUGGACAGUGAGCAUACCUUUGAUGUGGAGUAACAAAAGGGUUGCCAUUUUUCGGGGUGGAGUGUUGAGGCUGCAGCGUGGAAAUGUCUGCUAAAGGAGAGUCCACAUGGGUUCACACAUCAGUGAGAGGGACAGCAGGACAUGGACCAGGCACCAGGCCUCCUUCUCCCUGUGGUGUCUCCUAGUGCAACAUUCCAAGAAUUUGAUCAUUUUAAAUUCAAAGGUGUUCUUUCAACCUCAUUAGAUGGAAUAGAAUAAAGAAAAUACCCACAACAUAUAAUUUUUGGUCUUGUUUUAUUCUCUUGUCUCACAAAUCACAGAGGUGGUCUAUUCAUCUGUGAGGAAGAAGGUAUUUUCUGAGGUAUAGAGAUCUCCCUCCCCAUUUUGGAUAGAUUCUAAGGUAUCUAUUGAGUUGUGUAAAGCCCUGUCAUGGACUCAGUCUUCAUGACCCCUCUGUGAGACAGAAAUGAACAAUGCCAUUCUACAGAUGAGGAAACAAGACUUAGUGAAGUUAAGUGUCUUACUCAGGCACAUGGCUAGAGUGCUGAGCAAAGAUGGCAAUGACUGCCUUCAUGUCUGGAGCUCCUUUCUGUCUAGGAAGCAGCUGUUGAAGAUUACAGGUAGAUCUUUGGCUUGAAGAGUUUCCAAAGCUUGGCUCUAAACUCCUGCCACUAUACACUGUACUUAAAGUACAAUGACUUGGGAAAGGAUUGUAUUUGAUUUAUUUGGAGAAGAGACUGCAUUGUCAAAAAUCUAGAAAAUUAUUCUGAGUUAAACAUAAUACCACCCCCACCCCCGCUGAGUGGAGAUGUAUUUAUCUGGGGUAGAUAGCUCAUGGUGAGGGGCUGCAAUGGGCACUUUUUAUGAAUUCUCAAUAGUAAGCUUUGAAACCCAGAAUCUACUAGAUCUUUGCUCACUGGGCCUCCAUGGUCCCAGGAAGCAAAAUACACUGUGAGUCUAUUGGAUGGUACCUUUGAUUUGAGAAAAAAAAAAUGGCAAAAAUUUAACACGUGGGCUCAAAAUUACAUCUAUCAUGCUUCUUCUUUGUCCAAAUGUCUUUCCCUCUGUCAAGAAUGCUGUUCCUUGCUUUUCACCUUGAGCAACUUUUCUCCUUCCCCAAGACCCAGAUCCGGGGGGGAGCUCCUUCUCUGAAUUUGGUACUCUUGGUCUUUGCUCCC